AUGGAUCCACGGUCGAUGGGAGAGUACGCCAUCGUUGAUCCAUCACUUAGGUUAGUGGCGCAUGGGUCGGGUCUGGGCAGAAGGCCGGCGCCUGCGGGGGAAACGGCGGGGGUUGGUGCACCGGAAAAUAAGGAUGGGGUUGGCCGUAGAGGGAGGCUUGCCGGCCAAAACAGCCGGAGCAAGGAGGCAGUGUCGCCAUGGAGGGAGGCCCACUGGCCGGAGCAGCAGGAGCAACUGCAGCCGCUAGUCGGCCCGACGCACCGCCUCCUCUGCUGCGGCCUGCACGGUCAAGAGGGGCAGCUGUGCCAUAGCUGGCGGCGAGUUCAGCGGCCGCCGCCUCCUCUCCUCUACAAAUCCACAGGUGCAUAUGCGUUGUUCCCCUCGGUUGGAUUGUUCAUCCUUCUUCUCCGGUAG
RNAcentral lists this ribosomal RNA (414 nucleotides) under Triticum aestivum (bread wheat). RNAcentral describes it as "partial small subunit ribosomal RNA". Lineage: Eukaryota; Viridiplantae; Streptophyta; Magnoliopsida; Poales; Poaceae. The record is from RNAcentral.